RNAcentral lists this unclassified non-coding RNA (295 nucleotides) under plant metagenome. RNAcentral describes it as "partial contains small subunit ribosomal RNA and internal transcribed spacer 1". The stretch from base 1 to 46 matches the Rfam family "Eukaryotic small subunit ribosomal RNA", at positions 1786 to 1831 of the family's 1831-position model. The record is from RNAcentral.
UAGUCGUAACAAGGUUUCCGUAGGUGAACCUGCGGAAGGAUCAUUAACGAAUAACUAUGGUGUCUUGGUUGUAGCUGGCUCCUCGGAGCAUUUGUGCACGCCCGCCAUUUUAUCUAUCCACCUGUGCACCGACUGUAGGUCUGGAUGACUCUCGUGCUCUCCGAGUGCGGAUGCGAGGAUUGCCCUCUUGAGGUGUCUCUCCUCGAAUUUCCAGGCUCUACGUCUUUUUUACACACCCCACAAGUAUGAUAUAGAAUGUAGUCAAUGGGCUUGAUCGCCUAUAAACACUAUACAA